CCUACGGGAGGCAGCAGUGGGGAAUUUUGGACAAUGGGCGCAAGCCUGAUCCAGCAAUGCCGCGUGCAGGAUGAAGGCCUUCGGGUUGUAAACUGCUUUUGUACGGAACGAAACGGUCUGCUCUAAUACAGUGGGCUAAUGACGGUACCGUAAGAAUAAGCACCGGCUAACUACGUGCCAGCAGCCGCGGUAAUACGUAGGGUGCGAGCGUUAAUCGGAAUUACUGGGCGUAAAGCGUGCGCAGGCGGUUAUAUAAGACAGAUGUGAAAUCCCCGGGCUCAACCUGGGACCUGCAUUUGUGACUGUAUAGCUAGAGUGCGGCAGAGGGGGGAUGGAAUUCCGCGUGUAGCAGUGAAAUGCGUAGAUAUGCGGAGGAACACCGAUGGCGAAGGCAAUCCCCUGGGCCUGCACUGACGCUCAUGCACGAACGACGGUGGGGAGGACGAAACGAAGGAGUUAGUAUACCGUACGGUAGUACCGACCGACCCGUAACCGACUGUCACUGGUUGGUUGGGUUCGUUCUAC
This 525-nucleotide ribosomal RNA is filed under the name uncultured bacterium. RNAcentral describes it as "bacterial SSU rRNA". It matches the Rfam family "Bacterial small subunit ribosomal RNA", at positions 338 to 838 of the family's 1533-position model. The record is from RNAcentral.